This 400-nucleotide ribosomal RNA is filed under the name phytoplankton environmental sample. RNAcentral's name for it is "partial small subunit ribosomal RNA". It matches the Rfam family "Eukaryotic small subunit ribosomal RNA", at positions 587 to 987 of the family's 1831-position model. The record is from RNAcentral.
AGCUCCAGUAGCGUAUAUUAAAGUUGUUGCAGUUAAAAAGCUCGUAGUUGGAUUUCUGGCGAGGCAGAGCUAACCUGGCGCCUAGCGUCUCGUGUUGGACUCUGCCUGCCAUCCUUCCAGAGAACGACAAUACCAUUCAUUUGGCCGUUGUUGCAAUCUGGAACUUUUACUUUGAAAAAAUUAGAGUGUUCAAAGCAGGCGUUACGCUAUGAAUACAUUAGCAUGGAAUAAUAAUUUAGGACUUGGGUUCUAUUUUGUUGGUUCUAGGACCGAAGUAAUGAUUGAUAGGGAUAGUUGGGGGUGCUAGUAUUCAGCGGCCAGAGGUGAAAUUCUUGGAUUCGCUGAAGACUAACUUAUGCGAAAGCAUUCACCAAGGAUGUCUUCUUUAAUCAAGAACGAA